This 253-nucleotide ribosomal RNA is filed under the name uncultured bacterium. RNAcentral describes it as "partial 16S ribosomal RNA". It matches the Rfam family "Bacterial small subunit ribosomal RNA", at positions 524 to 776 of the family's 1533-position model. The record is from RNAcentral.
UACGGAGGGUGCAAGCGUUAUCCGGAUUCACUGGGUUUAAAGGGUGCGUAGGCGGGUAAGUAAGUCCGUGGUGAAAUCUCCGGGCUUAACCCGGAAAGGUCAGCCGAUACUGCGGGGCUAGAGUGCAGAAGGGGCAACUGGAAUUCUCGGUGUAGCGGUGAAAUGCGUAGAUAUCGAGAGGAACACCUGCGGCGAAGGCGGGUUGCUGGGCUGACACUGACGCUGAUGCGCGAAAGCUAGGGGAGCGAACGGG